Long non-coding RNA from Homo sapiens (human), 487 nucleotides. Lineage: Eukaryota; Metazoa; Chordata; Mammalia; Primates; Hominidae. The record is from Ensembl.
UUCGAAGUCCAGGGGCCGCGCCAGGUACAAGCGCCCUGAGGCCGCAUCCAGCGCGAAGGUGCCCUCGGGAUCGGCACCGCCCACCAGUGUGUAGUUAGCGUGUACAAGAUGGUCCCAUUCUCCCCCUCAUCUGGAUCCUUCGCCUGCAGAGUCGUCACCAGUGUUCCCGGAGGCACGCGGUCUGGUACCUGUGGGAACACAACUCACCUAGAAUGCUAGUAUUGAUUUUGGAGUUACAAAUAAAUUUUCGAGAUUAAGUGAAUUCACAAAUAAUGAGGACCAACUGUACUUAGAAAGAAGAAAGGGCUGUGACCUCAAAUUCCAGGUGGGUCCAGGAAGUUAAUACCCUCACCAAGUCUCAUAAUCACCCCAAACCAAGAACUCACCGACAGUGGAAUUAUUGAGACUGAUUUAUAGGUUUGAUCUUUAUUGAGUUUGAUUAUUACAGAGUGGGAUCUGAUUAAUACUGGGAUCUGAUCACUAUAGG